RNAcentral lists this ribosomal RNA (467 nucleotides) under uncultured bacterium. Its description in RNAcentral is "partial 16S ribosomal RNA". It matches the Rfam family "Bacterial small subunit ribosomal RNA", at positions 29 to 507 of the family's 1533-position model. The record is from RNAcentral.
ACGAACGCUGGCGGCGUGCUUCACACAUGCAAGUCGAACGGAAAGGCCCUGCUUUUGUGGGGUGCUCGAGUGGCGAACGGGUGAGUAACACGUGAGUAACCUGCCCUUGACUUUGGGAUAACUUCAGGAAACUGGGGCUAAUACCGGAUAGGAGCUCCUGCUGCAUGGUGGGGGUUGGAAAGUUUCGGCGGUUGGGGAUGGACUCGCGGCUUAUCAGCUUGUUGGUGGGGUAGUGGCUUACCAAGGCUUUGACGGGUAGCCGGCCUGAGAGGGUGACCGGCCACAUUGGGACUGAGAUACGGCCCAGACUCCUACGGGAGGCAGCAGUGGGGAAUAUUGCACAAUGGGCGGAAGCCUGAUGCAGAAACGCCGCGUGCGGGAUGACGGCCUUCGGGUUGUAAACCGCUUUCGCCUGUGACGAAGCGUGAGUGACGGUAAUGGGUAAAGAAGCACCGGCUAACUACGUG